CCCUUAAUCAGGUGAACCCUAUAAAAGCACCUGUGGCCAACAUGGCUUCCUCUUUGUCUGGUUUGCCUGCUGGUUGCCACAUGCUCCUUGCACUGAGCCUCCUGUCUGCCUCUCUGCCUUGGGUGAACUGGUGUCUGGUCUGAUUAAGAGCUCUACACAAUCAGGCUCCCCAGUACAUCCCACACCUUCUCCCUCAGUAUAAGCCUCCCAGCCCUCUCAGAUCAGCCAACAUGGGCGUAUUGGUGGUUCCUGGUGCCUGUUUAAAGUCCAAGGGCUUUCAGGCUUUUUCAGUCCGGGCUCCCAAACUAUGGAACGACCUACCAGCUGAACUGUUCCUCAGAGGAGAACAAAGACAUUUGGUGACGCUGCUUUCAGCCACGACGCUCCCAAACUAUGGAACAGCCUGCUGGAGGAUCUGAGAGGAGCUGAUAGAGAUAUUGAGACUUUUAAACCUAAACUAAAAGCGUGUUUAUUGA
This is a long non-coding RNA of Notolabrus celidotus (New Zealand spotty), 476 nucleotides long. RefSeq lists it as uncharacterized. The record is from RefSeq and is a predicted model, not a curated record. NCBI's taxonomy places the organism in Eukaryota, Metazoa, Chordata, Actinopteri, Labriformes, Labridae. The transcript is spliced from 4 exons.